Molecule: microRNA, 22 nt
Filed under: Monodelphis domestica (gray short-tailed opossum)
Lineage: Eukaryota; Metazoa; Chordata; Mammalia; Didelphimorphia; Didelphidae
Description: mdo-miR-7303-3p
Source: miRBase by way of RNAcentral
CAGGCGUCUUGUUUGGGUGUGA